UUUUACUGAAUUCACAAAAAUAGGAAGUUUUGCAUGAAUAUUUGCAAUAUACUUAUCACUUGUGGUGAUUAGAUUUCUUUCCAAAUAAUCCUCUUUCCUUCUUCAAAUAAUCCUAAACUUCUUUUGCUACAAAUUUCAUAAUGUAAAUUGAGUUUUCCUCCGACUAAAUCCUCUCUGUUCUCCAAAUAAUCUGAAAACAAAUAAUCCUCUUACUUUCCAACUCUCUUUUCCUCAAAUCCUCUUCUUUUCAGCUGCUAGAUACGCACGAGGCCCGAUUCAAGGAUGUUCCCGUGGCUGUCAGAACGAAAGCUGCUCACAAGAACGAGGUC
This 329-nucleotide unclassified non-coding RNA is filed under the name Bombus terrestris (buff-tailed bumblebee). Its description in RNAcentral is "misc RNA ENSBTSG00005030989.1". Lineage: Eukaryota; Metazoa; Arthropoda; Insecta; Hymenoptera; Apidae. The record is from RNAcentral.